RNAcentral lists this long non-coding RNA (211 nucleotides) under Gallus gallus (chicken). Lineage: Eukaryota; Metazoa; Chordata; Aves; Galliformes; Phasianidae. The record is from RNAcentral.
UUCCCUGAGUACGUUGGCAGCAGCGUUUUUCACCCGCUUGGUUAGCUGCGUAUCCAUCAUGAAGUUGUGCACGUGUUUCUCUGCUUUGGUGAGCUCUAGCUUUCUGGCAACCACGGCGACGACCAGAGCCGUGCAGCCGGCGCCCAUGAUGCCGGUGAGCAGACAGACCCCCUUCCCGCAGUAGGUGUGCGGCACCAUGUCCCCGUAGCCG